UACAGAGGGUGCAAGCGUUAAUCGGAAUUACUGGGCGUAAAGGGUGCGUAGGUGGUUAUUUAAGUCAGAUGUGAAAGCCCCGGGCUUAACCUGGGAACUGCAUUUGAAACUAGAUAGCUAGAGUGUGGUAGAGGGAAGUGGAAUUUCCGGUGUAGCGGUGAAAUGCGUAGAUAUCGGAAGGAACACCAGUGGCGAAGGCGACUUCCUGGACCAUAACUGACACUGAGGCACGAAAGCGUGGGGAGCAAACAGG
RNAcentral lists this ribosomal RNA (253 nucleotides) under uncultured bacterium. RNAcentral describes it as "partial 16S ribosomal RNA". It matches the Rfam family "Bacterial small subunit ribosomal RNA", at positions 524 to 776 of the family's 1533-position model. The record is from RNAcentral.